RNAcentral lists this ribosomal RNA (344 nucleotides) under Tolypocladium cylindrosporum. RNAcentral's name for it is "eukaryotic LSU rRNA". The stretch from base 1 to 122 matches the Rfam family "5.8S ribosomal RNA", at positions 33 to 154 of the family's 154-position model. Lineage: Eukaryota; Fungi; Ascomycota; Sordariomycetes; Hypocreales; Ophiocordycipitaceae. The record is from RNAcentral.
UCGAUGAAGAACGCAGCGAAAUGCGAUAAGUAAUGUGAAUUGCAGAAUUCAGUGAAUCAUCGAAUCUUUGAACGCACAUUGCGCCCGCCAGUAUUCUGGCGGGCAUGCCUGUUCGAGCGUCAUUUCAACCCUCAAGCCCCAGCCGGCUUGGUGUUGGGGACCGGCCCCGGCCGCCCCCCAAAUGCAGUGGCGACCUCGCCGCAGCCUCCCCUGCGUAGUAGCACAACCUCGCACCGGAGCGCGGAGACGGUCACGCCGUAAAACGCCCAACUUCUCAGAGUUGACCUCGGAUCAGGUAGGAAUACCCGCUGAACUUAAGCAUAUCAAUAAGCGGAGGAAAAGAA